This 215-nucleotide unclassified non-coding RNA is filed under the name uncultured Glomus. RNAcentral describes it as "sequence contains 18S rRNA gene". The stretch from base 37 to 215 matches the Rfam family "Eukaryotic small subunit ribosomal RNA", at positions 684 to 864 of the family's 1831-position model. The record is from RNAcentral. Lineage: Eukaryota; Fungi; Glomeromycota; Glomeromycetes; Glomerales; Glomeraceae.
GGACCAAUUUGUUGGUCGUGCCUCGGUACGUACUGGUAUUAUUGGUUUCUCCCUUCUGAAGAAUCUCGAUGCCAUUAAUUUGGUGUCGUGGGGAAUCAGGACUGUUACUUUGAAAAAAUUAGAGUGUUUAAAGCAAGCUAACGCUUGAAUACAUUAGCAUGGAAUAAUGAAAUAGGACGUUCGAUCCUAUUUUGUUGGUUUCUAGGAUUGACGUA